AAAAAAUUUAAUUUAUAUUUAAAAAUUUAUUUUGUAAAUAAUAAUAUUAAUAAGAUUUAUUAGAAAUAAUUUAUUAAUUUAAAUAAUUAAUAAGAAUUUAAUAAUUAAUAUUUAUAAUAAUUAAAAUUGUUGAGAUAAUAAAUAGUAAUUUAUAAAAAUAAUAAUAAAGUUAGUGCCAGCAAUUGCGGUUAGACUAAUAUUGUAGAUAAAUUAUGUUAUAAUUAAUAAAUGAGUAAAAAAUUUAGAAAGAGGAUUAGUAUAAGGUAUAUUUUAUAUGGUGAAAUAUUUAAAAUAAUAUAUAUAUAAAAAAUUGUAUAAUAAUAAAUUUGUAAAAUUAUAAAAAAAAUUAGGAUUAGAUACCCUAUUAUUAUAAAAAAAAAUUAAUUAAUAAGAGAUUAAAUGUAAAUCAUUAAAUUUAAAAAAUUUGGCGGUAUUUUAAAUAGUUAGAGGAAUUUGUUGGUUAAAUGAUAGUCCACGAUUGGGGCGUCCUAGUGAAGUUUUUAUGUAUUGUUGUAAAAAAAUUAUUUUAUAAGAAUUUAAUGAUUAAGCUAUUUAAUUUAAUUUUAAUUCAAAUCAAAAUGUAGAAUUAUUGGGUAUUUAAAUGAAUUACAAUUUAAUUUAAUAUUAGAGUUAUUUUUUUAAUUAAAGUAAUAAUAUAGGAUUUAAUAGUAAAUUUAAAUAAAUUUUUAAAUUGAAAUAUUAAUUGAAAUAUGUACAAAUUGCCCGUCAUUUUCAUGAAUAAUUAAUUGGAAGAAGUCGUAACAAAGUAAGUGUACAGGAAUGUGUAUUUAGAUGAAA
This 798-nucleotide non-coding RNA is filed under the name Pheidole malinsii. The record is from RNAcentral. Lineage: Eukaryota; Metazoa; Arthropoda; Insecta; Hymenoptera; Formicidae.